Molecule: long non-coding RNA, 841 nt
Filed under: Theobroma cacao (cacao)
Lineage: Eukaryota; Viridiplantae; Streptophyta; Magnoliopsida; Malvales; Malvaceae
Description: long non-coding RNA (TCAC_LNC004630)
Source: RNAcentral
UACAGAAAUUGUGCUUGGAGACUAGGAUUAGGAGUACAUCGACUCCUAGAACUGUGAGUGAACUUAUUAUCGUCUUAAUUAUCUAGAGUAGUUUUAUACAAUUGUGUGAUUUUAUGGAAAAUGGGUUUAAAUGGUAAAUUGCUAUGUUUUAAGAGAAAUUGUGAUUUUAUAAAAUAAUUUUAUAAAUUUUCUGGAAAAUCGAAUAUUGGUUUUGAGAAUAGAGUAAUUGGAGACUGCCUGUUUGUGUUGUAAAUUUAUGGUUUUAAAUUGAAUGGCUUAUGACAAUAUAUGAGCAUGAAUGGUUAAACUGAUUUUGGUGUUAAAAUUAUUUGUACUGAGUAUUCAGUCUUGAAAGACUAGGUUACGAUAAAUUGCCAUGUCAUGCUAGAAUGAAUUUUAUUGAUUGGUGGAGUAUAUAUUAAUUAUUCACUACAGAGGGGGUUCCAUGGACCAGCCUAUUAGAGGGGCACGGUAAACUCCAUUAUAUUCUUACCUGGAACGGAGAGGCGCGUAGGGUAUCUCCUGGGGUAAAGCUUAGGGUUCACUUCAUGCCAAACCACCACGUGAAGAGGAACUCAGCCAACGCUAAGGAACGGCUGUAUUUUUCUCAAACUAAAAAUAUAUUUUAAGUGUAUAUGAAAUUUUAAUAGCCUUGGUGAACUCGGUUGGAUGCCCUGCGCAAGGUAUCACCGAGUAUGAGUUUUGGCACGAGCCAAAGUUUUAAGAAAUUCAUAAGCCAAGUUGAUUACUCGAUUCAUAUGGAUUGAUUUUAUUUGGUUGAAAUGAGUUGAAAGGUAAUGAAAUUACAGUAUGAUGACUUAUUUUAAUUGUCUCCAUUUAC